This 253-nucleotide ribosomal RNA is filed under the name uncultured bacterium. Its description in RNAcentral is "partial 16S ribosomal RNA". It matches the Rfam family "Bacterial small subunit ribosomal RNA", at positions 524 to 776 of the family's 1533-position model. The record is from RNAcentral.
UACGUAGGGUGCGAGCGUUAAUCGGAAUUAUUGGGCGUAAAGCGCGCGUAGGCGGUCCUUUAAGUCUGAUGUGAAAGCCCACGGCUCAACCGUGGAGGGUCAUUGGAAACUGGGGGACUUGAGUGCAGAAGAGGAAAGCGGAAUUCCACGUGUAGCGGUGAAAUGCGUAGAGAUGUGGAGGAACACCAGUGGCGAAGGCGGCUUUCUGGUCUGUAACUGACGCUGAGGCGCGAAAGCGUGGGGAGCAAACAGG